ACCCUAUCAAACUUUACUUUAGUUUAACUGGGGCAGUUAAUUAAUAAAAAUUUUAAUAAAGAUUAAGUACUAAAUAGANNNCCCAACANUAGUUGAUUACANUGAACAAGUUACUGUAGGGAUAACAGCGUAAUAUAUAUCUAAAGUUCUUAUUUUGAUAUAAGUUUGCGACCUCGAUGUUGAAUUNAUAUUACUUUCAAGCGCAAGAGCCUGAAAAGUGGGUCUGUUCGACCCCUAAAUAUAUACAUGAUUUGAGUUCAAAUCGGUGUAAACCAGAUUGGUUUCUAUCUAUUNUUAUUUGUGUCUUAGUACGAAAGGACCUGAAACAAUAUUAUAUAAUNAUUUAUAUGGCAGAAAAAUGCUUUAGAUUUAGGAUCUAAUUAUAAUAGAUUAUUAUACUCUAUUUAACUUGCCUAAUCUCUGUUAUUAGAAUCCUUAUCGCAGUAGCUUUUUAUACCCUCCUAGAGCGAAAAAUUCUAAGCUACAUCCAAAUU
This 494-nucleotide ribosomal RNA is filed under the name Sancus acoreensis. RNAcentral describes it as "partial 16S ribosomal RNA". The stretch from base 1 to 289 matches the Rfam family "Bacterial large subunit ribosomal RNA", at positions 2088 to 2642 of the family's 2925-position model. The record is from RNAcentral. Lineage: Eukaryota; Metazoa; Arthropoda; Arachnida; Araneae; Tetragnathidae.